UUUCCUUUCACCAAUCCAAAGUUUGUAGGUUAUCCUAGGAUCACUUGCAAUUUAGCAAAACUGUGAAGAAGUUUAAAUCCAUCAAUUUGCUUUGAGGUAAGGGAAGCUGGUUAAUUUAAUUGAUUGGUUUAUAAUGUAUGAAAAAUGUUGUUUGAUGAUUUUGCAUGUAUAUGAAAUUGAAUGUUUGUGUGUUCGGAAUUGUUAUGGGGGCUGUAAAAUGUUGUGGGUAUGUUGAUUUCAUUUAUGUAGAAUUCUAGGUUCAGUGACCGAGUGAAUUGUGAGGAAGUGAAGUAGUGAAAAUGGGGAAUUGGCAUCAAGUGUAGAGUUGGUCCGUAAGGAGAAUCUAGGUAAGUUGUUUAGGACUUAUUAGAACCGUUAAGUCACUCAAAACUGCACCAAAAGUAGGAAAUCUGAUUUUCAGUCCUUGAGUUAAUCAUUCUGCAGAAUUGACUCUCAAAUAUGAGAUGAAG
RNAcentral lists this long non-coding RNA (470 nucleotides) under Vigna radiata. RNAcentral's name for it is "long non-coding RNA (VRAD_LNC015854)". The record is from RNAcentral. Lineage: Eukaryota; Viridiplantae; Streptophyta; Magnoliopsida; Fabales; Fabaceae.